GCGAGCGACUCUGGAGAGACCGGUUCACCGGCGCCGAAGGGGCAAGGACGGCAGGACGCCGCCCCAAACUCUCAGGCAAAAGGACAGAGGGGCAUUC
This 97-nucleotide non-coding RNA is filed under the name Arenimonas composti. Its description in RNAcentral is "Glycine sequence". It matches the Rfam family "Glycine riboswitch aptamer". Rfam says of the family: This family represents the bacterial glycine riboswitch. Glycine riboswitches usually consist of two metabolite-binding aptamers domains with similar structures in tandem. The aptamers cooperatively bind glycine to regulate the expression of downstream genes. RNAcentral also lists the same sequence under 1 other name. Lineage: Bacteria; Pseudomonadati; Pseudomonadota; Gammaproteobacteria; Lysobacterales; Lysobacteraceae. The record is from RNAcentral.